RNAcentral lists this ribosomal RNA (301 nucleotides) under uncultured bacterium. RNAcentral's name for it is "partial 16S ribosomal RNA". It matches the Rfam family "Bacterial small subunit ribosomal RNA", at positions 509 to 809 of the family's 1533-position model. The record is from RNAcentral.
CAGCCGCCGCGGUAAUACGAAGGGGGCUAGCGUUGUUCGGAAUUACUGGGCGUAAAGCGCACGUAGGCGGAUAUUUAGGUCAGGGGUGAAAUCCCAGAGCUCAACUCUGGAACUGCCAUUGAUACUGGGUAUCUUGAGUAUGGAAGAGGUGAGUGGAAUUCCGAGUGUAGAGGUGAAAUUCGCAGAUAUUCGGAGGAACACCAGUGGCGAAGGCGGCUCACUGGUCCAUUACUGACGCUGAGGUGCGAAAGCGUGGGGAGCAAACAGGAUUAGAUACCCCGGUAGUCCCUGUCUCUUAUCA